UGGGGAAUAUUGGGCAAUGGGGGAAACCCUGACCCAGCAACGCCGCGUGAAGGAAGAAGGCUUUCGGGUUGUAAACUUCUUUUACCGAGGACGAAGAACGUGACGGUACUCGGAGAAAAAGCCACGGCUAACUACGUGCCAGCAGCCGCGGUAAUACGUAGGUGGCAAGCGUUGUCCGGAUUUACUGGGUGUAAAGGGCGUGUAGGCGGAGAUGCAAGUCAGGAGUGAAAUCUCGGGGCUCAACCCCGAAACUGCUUUUGAAACUGUAUCCCUUGAGUAUCGGAGAGGCAGGCGGAAUUCCUAGUGUAGCGGUGAAAUGCGUAGAUAUUAGGAAGAACACCAGUGGCGAAGGCGGCCUGCUGGACGACAACUGACGCUGAGGCGCGAAAGCGUGGGGAGCAAACAGG
RNAcentral lists this ribosomal RNA (407 nucleotides) under uncultured bacterium. RNAcentral's name for it is "bacterial SSU rRNA". It matches the Rfam family "Bacterial small subunit ribosomal RNA", at positions 355 to 776 of the family's 1533-position model. The record is from RNAcentral. RNAcentral also lists the same sequence under 1 other name.